Molecule: unclassified non-coding RNA, 378 nt
Filed under: uncultured Actinomycetes bacterium
Lineage: Bacteria; Bacillati; Actinomycetota; Actinomycetes
Description: uncultured actinobacterium contains 16S-23S intergenic spacer region
Source: RNAcentral
UCCGACUUGACGUCGGCAGUCUCGUUAGAGUGCCCCACUUAAGGCUGGCAACUAACGACAGAGGUUGCGCUCGUUGCGGGACUUAACCCAACAUCUCACGACACGAGCUGACGAUAGCCAUGCACCACCUGUGAUCCUGCCCACAGGGGGAAACCGUGUUUCCACGGCGGUCAGGAACAUGUCAAACCCAGGUAAGGUUCUUCGCGUUGCGUCGAAUUAAACCACAUGCUCCGCUGCUUGUGCGGGUCCCCGUCAAUUCCUUUGAGUUUUAGCCUUGCGGCCGUACUCCCCAGGCGGGGCACUUAAUGCGUUAGCUGCGACACGGAAGCCGUGGAAUGGCCCCCACAUCUAGUUCCCAACGUUUACGGCAUGGACUAC